Long non-coding RNA from Glycine soja, 620 nucleotides. RefSeq lists it as uncharacterized. The transcript has 2 exons. The record is from RefSeq and is a predicted model, not a curated record. NCBI's taxonomy places the organism in Eukaryota, Viridiplantae, Streptophyta, Magnoliopsida, Fabales, Fabaceae.
AAAAAAUAGAAGACACAAAAUGAGUCCUCAUAUAAACCUGUAUCAUGUGCCACACACAACGCCAUGCAUCUCUGGAAAAUACAGGAGCCAUGAUCUCAACAAAUCUGAGAAAAUUUCAAGUGUCAAAGCUAUGUUAGAUACAUUUGAUAUGAUCCCUUUAGAAGCUCACAAGACAGAAAGAAAGAAAGAUCAUGGAAUUGGCUUAGAACAAAUAUGACGAGGUUUGAUGUGCCUUUGUAUGUACGGUGUAUGGAACCUCUUCAAUGCUUGAAGAUCGUAACAUGUGCUGGUAUGAUAUAAGAGCUGUUGUGAUGUAGCAGAAAUGACAGUGGUUGUGGAAAACUUGUGCAGGAGAGCUUACACCAGGUUAUAGCAGCAACUGGACACAGUUACAUGCAGGUUGUUGUGGCCUCGGGUAUGAUUUUAUCUAGUUGGAAUACAGAAGGAAAUUAAUAGGGUGCUUAUGUUGUAAUUCUGUUAUAGCUGUACUGUGUAAUUGAAUUUAUGUACUGUUCUCUGGGUUGGAGUUUUUGACAUCUCUUGUGACAAAAUUCCAACCAGUUUUUUAUAAUACAUAUAUAAUACACAAAACUAAAACAUAUAAGAACAUAAUUCACUUA